GACAGAGGAUGCAAGCGUUAUCCGGAAUGAUUGGGCGUAAAGCGUCUGUAGGUGGCUUUUUAAGUCCGCCGUCAAAUCCCAGGGCUCAACCCUGGACAGGCGGUGGAAACUACCAAGCUGGAGUACGGUAGGGGCAGAGGGAAUUUCCAGUGGAGCGGUGAAAUGCGUAGAGAUUGGAAAGAACACCGAUGGCGAAGGCACUUUACUGGGCUAUUACUAACACUGAGAGACGAAAGCUAGGGUAGCAAAUGGG
This 253-nucleotide ribosomal RNA is filed under the name uncultured bacterium. Its description in RNAcentral is "partial 16S ribosomal RNA". It matches the Rfam family "Bacterial small subunit ribosomal RNA", at positions 524 to 776 of the family's 1533-position model. The record is from RNAcentral.